UCUGAAAUUAUAGGUUUUCAGACUAAAUUAAAACAGAUAAUUAUUUCAUUUCGUAACAUAUCCUAUUGAUGUAAUCUAAACAAUUUAAACGGGACCUUAUUGUGUGAUACAUGAGAUGCGAAUGUAUUUAUGUACAUAUGUAGCUUUUAACAACAAUAUGAUUAUUCCCAAAAGCUCUAUCAAAUUGCCGCAGCGCGAACAGGUUCAAAUAAAACUAAACUAGUUUUGGUUUCUUUUGUAUAUUUUAUAAAGUCUGGCUUUAAAAAAUAAAUGCAUAAUAAAAAAAAAUACAAAAGAUAGGCAGAAAGAAGACAUCAAGUCUAUUGUCUGUAUAUGGAAUGGAGCAGUUUUCUAUCUGGCUUUCAGUGAGUUAAGGCUUGGGUGUAUCGAAUGAGAUACACAUAUAAAUGAAAGUAUGGAGAGAUGUAUUUAGGUUUUCAUGUAUUUCCAUGCAUACAUAUUUACUUGUUCAUAUGUAUUUUACACUGCUUCAGACGGCAAAAGAAAAGAAAGUGGCAGAAAAACUGUAAAUGAAUCAAAGCCACUCGGAGCGAUGGCGAUCGCCAUGCACAUCUGUGGUAUCUACCACUAUUUCGCGGGCAUAAGGCCAACAGGUACAUAUGUAAACCGCUUACUCUUUCAAGGAACACGCACGACCAUUCAUGCAAACGAAAGCCAGGUAACUGAAUAACCCACCAUAACCACUGCGCUGGCGGUUCAAAUCAAACCCACGAAGAGCUUGAGCGUGGUACGAUCGCAUUUGCAAAGGUAGUUUGGCUAGUUUAUUCGGGCCAAGCUGUAAAAAUUCAACUCCCAUCAGCUCCACAGCUUUUCACAUGAAAGAGCUUACUGUCCGUCAACUUGGACUUACUGGCAGUCUCACCCACGGCAUCAUAAAAAACUGAACAGGCAGCCAUGGUCUUCAAUUUAUUAUUAAUCGAAUUGUUCGUAACUGUCGAAAAGUAUUUCUUGUACCACGUAAUGAUUGACAGCUUCGUUGAUACGAGACAGUCUUUAAAUCUAAAUAAACUUAACAUUAUUUAACGGAUAUCUGGAAAGUGUGUCCUAUUUUCUAAUGCAAUAUUUAUUCGAAAUAAUAAUUACUACACCCAGUUAAAUAUUGCAGAAAUUCAUACAAAGGAAGAAAUAUUAUCUCAUCAUACCAAACUUACCAACGUACAUACAAUAAAGCUAGUGUGUAGUUUUAUAUGAGAAAUUCUCUUUGCCCGUAGCUCUUGUAGUCUUCGAGAUGUUUGUUAAUACUGAGACAGAUGACAAAAUGAACUACGAAAAAACGAUAUAUGAAGACCAGAUUAUACACAAAUAAACUAUGAAAUAAA
Molecule: long non-coding RNA, 1340 nt
Organism: Drosophila pseudoobscura
Lineage: Eukaryota; Metazoa; Arthropoda; Insecta; Diptera; Drosophilidae
Exons: 3
Source: RefSeq, a predicted model, not a curated record